Molecule: ribosomal RNA, 1444 nt
Filed under: metagenome
Description: bacterial SSU rRNA
Rfam family: Archaeal small subunit ribosomal RNA
Source: RNAcentral
UCUGGUUGAUCCUGCCAGAGGCCAUUGCUAUUCGAAUCCGACUAAGCUAUGCAAGCUGAGAGUCUUAGGGACUCGGCGAACUGCUCCGUAAUGCGCAGAUAACUUACCCUUGAGUGGGAGAUAAUCUCGGGAAACUGAGGCUAAUACCCCAUAGGUGCUUGCUGCUGGAAUGCUCUUGCACUCAAAGUUCCGACGCUCAAGGAUAGGUCUGUGCCCCAUCAGGCAGUUGUUGGUGUAAUGAACCAACAAACCGAUAACGGGUGCGGGCUAUGGAAGUAGGAGCCCGGAGAUGGAUUCUGAGACAUGAAUCCAGGCACUACGGUGUGCAGCAAGCGCGAAACCUUUACAAUGCAUUCACGUGCGAUAAGGGGAUUUGAAGUGCUCCAGCACAGCUGGAGCUUUUGCUUACCUUAAAUCAGUAGGCGAAUAAGGGCUGGGUAAUACAGGUGCCAGCCGCCGCGGUAAUACCUGAGGCCCAAGUGAUGGCCGCUAUUAUUGGGUCUAAAGCGUCCGUAGCCGGUUUGGUAAGUUCUUGGUGAAAUCCUUCGGCAAACUGGAGGGCGUGCUGAGAAUACUACUAAACUUGAGACCGGGAGAGGGCAGAGGUACUUAUGGGGUAGGGGUUAAAUCCUGUAAUCCCAUAGGGACCACCUGUGGCGAAGGCGUCUGCCUGGAACGGGUCUGACGGUGAGGGUCGAAAGCGUGGGUAGCGACCGGGAUUAGAUACCCCGUUAGUCCACGCCGUAAACGAUGCCCGUUUGGUGUUGCAGGCUUCUUGGGAGUCUGCGGUGCCGUAGCGUAGGUGUUAAACGGGCCACCUGGGGAGUACGUUCGCAAGAAUGAAACUUAAGGGAAUUGGCGGGGGAGCACACAAGGGGUGGGCACUGCGGUUCAAUUGGAUUCAACGCCGGAAAUCUCACCAGGGAAGACGGCAGGAUGAAGGUCAGUCUGAAGGGCUUACCUAACAAGCCGAGAGGUGGUGCAUGGCCAUCGUCAGCUCGUACCGUGAGGCGUGCCGUUAAGUCGGUUAACGAGCGAGACCCAUGUCUCAUGUUGCAACCUAUGUUUUCGAAUAUAGGGCACUCAUGAGAGACCGCUGGUGAUAAAUCAGAGGAAGGAAUGGGCAACGGUAGGUCUGUAUGCCCCGAAAUUCCUGGGCUACACGCGGUGCACAAUGCGCGCCACAAUGGGACGCAACGCCGAGAGGUGGAGCUAAUCCCCUAAAAGCGCGCUUAGUUCAGAUCGAGGGUUGUAACUCACCCUCGUGAAGCUGGAAUCCCUAGUAAGCGAACGUCAUCAUCGUUCGCUGAAUACGUCCCUGCUCCUUGCACACACCGCCCGUCAAGCCAACCGAGUGAAGUUUAAACGAGGACUAUUAAAAACCUUCGGGUCAACGGUAGUUCGAGUUUCGGCUUCGUGAGGGGGGCUAAGUCGCCACAAGGUA